AGAACGAACGCUGGCGGCAGGCCUCAAACAUGCAAGUCUAGGGGGUGUAGCAAUACAUCACCGGCGGACGGGUGCGUAACACGUGGGAAUAUACCUUUUGGUUCGGAACAACGCAGGGAAACUUGCGCUAAUACCGAAUGUGCCCUUACGGGGAAAGAUUUAUCGCCAAAGGAUUAGCCCGCGUAGGAUUAGCUAGUUGGUGAGGUAAUGGCUCACCAAGGCUCCGAUCCUUAGCUGUUCUGAGAGGAAGAUCAGCCACACUGGGACUGAGACACGGCCCAGACUCCUACGGGAGGCAGCAGUUGGGAAUCUUGGACAAUGGGGAAACCCUGAUCCAGCCAUGCCGCGUGAGUGAUGAAGGCCUUCGGGUUGUAAACUCUUUCGACGGGGACGAUAAUGACGGUACCCGUAGAAGAAGCUCCGGCUAACUUCGUGCCAGCAGCCGC
This 446-nucleotide ribosomal RNA is filed under the name uncultured bacterium. Its description in RNAcentral is "SSU rRNA". It matches the Rfam family "Bacterial small subunit ribosomal RNA", at positions 26 to 518 of the family's 1533-position model. The record is from RNAcentral.